Molecule: long non-coding RNA, 687 nt
Organism: Brienomyrus brachyistius
Lineage: Eukaryota; Metazoa; Chordata; Actinopteri; Osteoglossiformes; Mormyridae
Exons: 2
Source: RefSeq, a predicted model, not a curated record
CGUGGUGCGGAAACUAGUACUGUUGACACUGCGGAGUCUUUGCAGGUAAUGGAUUUGUUCAUAGACGUCCAUUGAUUUAUAGUUAAUCAACCGUUUUAUAAGGCAUUUGUAUUAUCUUUAAACUUAGCAAAGUGUGAAAUGCUGUCUGUUUAUGAUUGCACCUUAGCGAAUGCUCAUGGUAUCCCUGUAAAAUAUUACGGCAAACACAAAACUAAAGACAAUAGUUGAUUAGAAAACUGAAAUAUUUGGGAAAAGAUAUCAGAAUGUAGACAUGAACUUAAUUUUUGGGUUAAAAAAGGUCUUUCUAUUUUAGGAGACAUUUUAUUAACUAAAAUGGAAGCAUGGCACGUUGAACAUUCUAGAUAUUCUUUAUUGCUCCCCAGCAAGGUAAUAAAAGUAAUAUAAAUAAUAAUAACUAUAAAUAAUUUUUAUCAAUUUUAUUUGGGAAAAAGCCGCACUAUGUAAGAAGAUACACCGUAGUACACCACUUUGAAAUGGGUCUGAUCCUAUCAGAAUGUGACUCCUUAUACUUUGCAAUGAUACAACACACAGCAGUUCUGGACCCUGUGAACGGCUUGAAACUUGAAGAUGGGCAUCUACUGCCUUCUUUCUGAGGUCCAGACUAAUUUCUUCAGUUUGGGCAUGAUGACUGACCACCCCAAUGUUCAAUAAAUUAGUUAUACAGCA